This 761-nucleotide long non-coding RNA is filed under the name Physcomitrium patens. Its description in RNAcentral is "long non-coding RNA (PPAT_LNC006574)". Lineage: Eukaryota; Viridiplantae; Streptophyta; Bryopsida; Funariales; Funariaceae. The record is from RNAcentral.
UCCUAAUGAACGUCAACCAAAUCCAAGGUCAAAUUCUAAUUAAAAUUCUAAUUGAAAUCCUAAUGAAUUUUAGUUAAAUCUUAGAUAAAAUCCUAAAAAAAUCCUAAAUUCUAAUUCCAAAUCAAAUCUUAAUGAAAUCCAAAAUUAUAAAUAAUUCGAAGAAAAUCCUAAGUAAAUUUCAAUUGAUUACUAUAAUUAUUUGAAAUCUCAAUAAAUAUAAGUUGAAUCGUACAUUUUCAUUAAAUUUUUUUAUUUAAACUUUAAUAAAUAAGCAAUUAAUAAGUGUAUAAAUUUUGAGAAGAAUCAAACUUUCUAAUUACAAAAAAGGUUCCAAAACCUCUUUAUCUUUGGUCACCUUCCUUCUCCAAUUUCAAUGCUGAAUUUUCAAUACUAAUUUUUUCUAGGUGAAUUAUUCAAUUGCUUCAAAAUUUAGAUUAUAUAUAGAUAUUCAAGUCUUAAGUAAGCUCUCCAAAUUUUACUUCAAUUCAAUUGGAAACUAUUGCUAGAUCUCAAAAUUACUCAUUAAUCCUAAAUCUCAAAUUUCUAAGACCAUAAUCCACAAAAAUCCUCAUAUGCUUCAAUCUAAUUGCUUUAAUAAUUUCAAAUUUUAUACACACAUUUACAAUAAGCAUAUCAACAAAAUUUUAAAAUUUCACUUUUAUAAAUAUUACAAAACUUAAGGGAUCCUCAAAUUUGUGAACAUAUUUUUAUUUCUCAAAAUCUAAACCUACCAAAAAUAUUCUUAACUUUGAAAAUCCUUC